UACGAAGGGGGCUAGCGUUGCUCGGAAUCACUGGGCGUAAAGCGCGCGUAGGCGGUAGGCCAAGUCUGCUGUGAAAUCGCCCGGCUCAACUGGGCGCGGUCGGUGGAAACUGGUCAACUGGAGGACGGUAGAGGCGAGUGGAAUUCCCGGUGUAGUGGUGAAAUGCGUAGAGAUCGGGAGGAACACCAGUGGCGAAGGCGGCUCGCUGGGCCGGACCUGACGCUGAGGCGCGAAGGCGUGGGGAGCGAACGGG
RNAcentral lists this ribosomal RNA (253 nucleotides) under uncultured bacterium. Its description in RNAcentral is "partial 16S ribosomal RNA". It matches the Rfam family "Bacterial small subunit ribosomal RNA", at positions 524 to 776 of the family's 1533-position model. The record is from RNAcentral.